Molecule: transfer RNA, 72 nt
Filed under: Selaginella moellendorffii
Lineage: Eukaryota; Viridiplantae; Streptophyta; Lycopodiopsida; Selaginellales; Selaginellaceae
Rfam family: tRNA
About the family: Transfer RNA (tRNA) molecules are approximately 80 nucleotides in length. Their secondary structure includes four short double-helical elements and three loops (D, anti-codon, and T loops).
Source: Rfam by way of RNAcentral
GUCGAUGUAGUAUAGUGGUGAGUAUUUCCGCCUGUCACGCGGACGACCCGGGUUCGAUCCCCGGCAACGGCG